AGGUGUUCUUGUGGCGUUAUUGGCCUAACUUAAGCAUUCCUAUACCUCAUCUGGCUGAGAUGUGAAUCUGUUAGGAAGUAGUGCCCUGGGAGGGGAAUGGCCUGAUGCAGUGCUGCUUUGCCUUCCUCUGGCAGGCAACGGUGAGUAGCUGUAACUUGUAAGCUCCCACGCUCCUCUUUACUACCCACAGCAGUGCAGUACAGCAGUUAGUAGACUGAAAGUGAUUUGGUUGUGUCAGUUUGCCUUUCCUCACUUCUCAAUCCAUUUAAAAAGCAAGCAGACAGAUGUUUUAUUUCCUUUAGCUACUCUCCCUGCUCCAGUUUGACCUGUCCUUCAACAGUCUCAUCCAACAGCUGUCUCUUCCUUGCUGAUAGGAGUAGUGUUUCACCCUGACAUCUUCUAUAUGCUCUCCUACUCAAAGGUAGUUAUUGCAGAGGGGAAAGUUCUCUCUCUGGGCAAAUCACAACAAGUUUUAAAAGAAAGCAAACUGAAGAGCUGAUGAAAUAAUGGCAAAGUGCUGAUCAGCAGUCAUGCUAUUUGCAAAGACAAGGUUCUUCAUGUGUGUUAGAAGCAGCAAAAUCCUGGUCAAAACAAAUCAUCAGAAAUGUGAAAUCCUGAAAGCAGCCAGCACCAAACCGUACCCAGCAAACACAACAUGGAUUUGUUCUAGGCAAAUAGCUGUCCCUAGCUGACAUUUACUGCAUCUCAGUUGUAGAAACCUGUAACCUGACUGCAGACAGUUUGCUCUACUUGAGGAUUUUCAGUGUGCAAGUGCAAGAAGCUGUGAUCCUGUCUUAUCUGCAGCCAGUGCUAAUCUCUACCUAUGUCAAAACCAACCUUUCUUUCCACGUAACACACCUGGAAUGGGCUGAAAAGGUCACUGAAACUUGCAGUUCUGUGUCUAGAAAGAAUGCAGCUCUUUGCAUACGUGGCCCAGAGGAAGGAGGUAAGCUUGGGGGGGUUGGGGUUGGAUUUUUAUUGAUGUACUUGAAGCUAGGGAAUGGUUGAGCAGCCUUCUGCUUUCUGGGAAUGGGCAUCGUUUCAUUAGCAUUUCACUGCAGGCAGUUCAUGUAGUGAAUCUGCUGGCACUCAAAAAGCCAAAGCAAGCUAUUGGGGUGAGUGAGGAGUUGGGAGGUUAUUUUUUGGUCUCUCUUGCUUCCAAAAGGUUUCUUGUUAGAAGUUUUCCUCUAGCCCUGGGGUAUGUUUUCAUAUGUGUGUGUGCUGUCACUUUUGUGCAUCCUUUUCCUAGGUGAUGGUGAAGACUGUGUGAGACAGGACUGAAUAAAGCCAUGUUGGUGGGGAGAAUUAAUCCUCUUGCUUUGAUAAAGCUGUACAAAUCAAUUCCGUCUAGUCUGAGGAUUACUUGGCUGCCUUCAGGUCACUGAACCUGGACAACUGAUUUGGCACAGACAGCACUGGAUGAGCAUCUGACAUCCUGGCUGAGGCAACAGUGCAGAACAAGUAGUCUGACCUGAGUAAUAAAGAACUGAUCCAGCUGUAGGUCUUAUUCAAUAGAGACUUCUCCAGAAAUGGCUGCAGCUGUUUGCAGGAGAAUCUGAAGCAGAUAACCUACCUUCUGUUGCUGCUGAGAAGCAUAUGAAGUAAAGAUUCUGAAACAGCUGAAGCUAACAGAGCCAGGAGAAACUCCUCUGGUGGCUGAAGAAGAAAAUCGUAGAGGAGCUGCUUUGGGUAGAAGCUCAAGGUUGCAUACUCCCAGAGGACAGUGGGAGGGGGACACAGCCCCAGCCUUCUUCAGAGAUUGUUUCACAACAUGGAUUUGGACUGAAUGAAUCCAAGCUAUUUAGGAGUGACUCCAGGCAUGCAAGCACAAGGUAAAACAAAAAGCCAGCAACAAAGUGUGAUCAGCUCUGGAGGGUGAAGCCUCUACUAAACCAGAGAAGAAGCAGUGGCAGCAAGAUUAAGUCCUGUAAGAGCAGACAAAUAUGAAAACUCCUUUCUGAAGAUCUUCUGUCAGAAGAUAAUCCCCAAAGUCUCCUGAAAUCACAGUGGAUAUAAUUGCUGUGUGUCCCCUGGGAUCAUUUCUUUUACUGGUCAAGCCUCCCACAGCUUCACUUGCUGUGUAAAGAAUAUUCCUUUCAAUGCGGAGAUGAAAAGGAAGGUUUUGUACUCACCACAGAAAAUACACUCCUAUAAACGAACCCUUUGGUCCUUGAGGAGUAUUGGAGGAAAAAUAAAAGUCAUGUACUAAUUUGCUUGCUGAACUCCAGCCCCCAGAAGUUUCUCCUGUCAGAACAGGCAGAGCAUGCUGCAUGUCCUCAUGAAGGGUAGCUGUGGGGCUGUGCAUAGAUAGGUUGAUGUUUCAUUAGAAGAACCUCUGCCCUGGCCCCAAGUGCUGCUGAAAGGUGAGAGUGUGGGUUAAGGUGGACCCAUGGCUGUGCUCCUGUGUGCUGCCCUCCUGCACUGAGCUGUGCCAGCAGCAAUCUCCAGCCAGGUCUCCAGCUUGGUGUUGCUGCAUAAUUCUGGAGUAAAAAGCCUCCUUCUCUAAGGAAACAGUCUGGUAGCAAUCUCUUCAAAGGAGCAGCAACUGCAAGUCAAAUAGCCACGACUAAUGUUCAUUUGACAGGUCCUGAAGAGCCAAGACUUCAAAACAAAGCCUGGCAUCUCUACACUGUGGCACAAAACAGGCAAGAGGAACAGAAAUUAGAUAUAGAAGGAACUUGGUUUAUGGAUGCUUAACUUACAGAGUGAGAUCCUCAGUUCCCUGCAGUAGAACAUCUCCCCUGAGCAAGGUUUGACACAUCUUAAAACCAGACCACAGGAUAGAGAAGCAUAGUAAAUCUCUCUUUGUUUAUGAGAAUGUCCUUUCAGUGAGUGACAUCUGAACCUGGGGGAAGUCUAUCUGCAUUUCCUCCAGUGAUUCCAAAUCAAGGGAAACCACUUUCUGGUGGAAGGAGCAAAAACAUCAGAUGCUGAUAUUAAAGUUAUAAAGCUAUGUGCAAACAAUGAAAUUGCUUUUUUUGUUCCUCAUUACUGUAACAAAAAAGAGUCUUCUAUGUCCCACUUGUCUUAGAAGAAGGCAAUUUAUCCAUCUCUCAUGUUUUUUCAUCAAGUCAGACAGUGCUGUGUCUGCAGAGUUAUAAACUAAUUAAAAAUGUUCUCAUUAGUCAGUCAAUUGUUAGGUAAGUGAUAACAUUUGUUAUCUAUUUGGUACCUAAAGGUAAUUUCUGUUAUUAAAAUUGAUCCCAUUGAUUCCACUCUCAUUAAAAACAAAACCACAAAAUGGAAACAGCAGCUCUCAGCAGCAGGGUUAAAGGAUUAAGGUGAUUUGAGCUCUAUAAUAUUGGCUGCUUAAAAAAAAUAAUGGGGUGGGAAGGUAGCCUUUAUCUAAUGCUUCUUCCCUCUGGUGCCUAUAAAUUAAUGUUGAUUUUAUAGUCCAGAUGCUUAUUACCCAUCUGAUUUCUGCUCAGUAUUGCCCACUCUGUCCUUUGUUUUUCUUACCCUUUCUGUCCUCUUUCUCUGCAGCUCCGUGUCAGGCUUUGACAGCACAGAGCUCUCCUCUCUACUCACCUCUAUCAUGAUGAGCUCCCAGCCUCUGCCUGCAGUUCUGAGCUGCUGAGACUCCCUCAGAUAAAAAGGGAGCUGAACCAGCAGAUGCACACCUCAUGGCCUCCCUUGGUCAGUGUGGUGAUAACUGAGGGGUUGAAACAAACAGCCUGAGAUGGCAGGUUCACAGUCAACAAGGUGCUCUGCUCAGCCCUCAGCUGCUGGGAGAUGGUUGGGGUCCCCUUCUGCUGUGUGUGGUAACUUCCCUCUCACGUAUGCUAACACCUCUCCUACAUGAACGAGCUUUGGGAACUGGUGAAAGAGAAAUACCUCAUCUUUCUUUUUUCUGGAUAUGAAAGCUUUCCUUGUCUUGGACCUCUGUUUUCUGCUGCUGCUGUUCGCUUGCUGCCACUCUCUGAUGGGAUAUAUGUUUGCAAGUGAUGUAAUCUGUCACCUGCCCUUAGGUUUUCCUUAUUUGUGCCCUGCAAUAAAUUACUUGACACUGUGAA
Molecule: long non-coding RNA, 4013 nt
Organism: Pogoniulus pusillus (Red-fronted tinkerbird)
Lineage: Eukaryota; Metazoa; Chordata; Aves; Piciformes; Lybiidae
Exons: 6
Source: RefSeq, a predicted model, not a curated record